GACGAACGCUGGCGGCGUGCUUAACACAUGCAAGUCGAACGGAAAGGCCCUGCUUUUGUGGGGUGCUCGAGUGGCGAACGGGUGAGUAACACGUGAGUAACCUGCCCUUGACUUUGGGAUAACUUCAGGAAACUGGGGCUAAUACCGGAUAGGAGCUCCUGCUGCAUGGUGGGGGUUGGAAAGUUUCGGCGGUUGGGGAUGGACUCGCGGCUUAUCAGCUUGUUGGUGGGGUAGUGGCUUACCAAGGCUUUGACGGGUAGCCGGCCUGGGAGGGUGACCGGCCACAUUGGGACUGAGGUACGGCCCAGACUCCUACGGGGGGCAGCAGUGGGGAAUAUUGCACAAUGGGCGGAAGCCUGAUGCGGCAGCGCCGCGUGCGGGAUGACGGCCUUCGGGUUGUAAACCGCUUUCGCCUGUGACGAAGCGUGAGUGACGGUAAUGGGUAAAGAAGCACCGGCUAACUACGUG
Molecule: ribosomal RNA, 468 nt
Filed under: uncultured bacterium
Lineage: Bacteria
Description: partial 16S ribosomal RNA
Rfam family: Bacterial small subunit ribosomal RNA
Source: RNAcentral